CCCUUAGAUGUUCUGGGCCGCACGCGCGCUACACUGACGAUGGCAACGAGUUUUUCCUUCGCCGAAAGGUGUGGGUAAUCUUUUGAAACAUCGUCGUGCUGGGGAUAGAUCAUUGCAAUUUUUGAUCUUGAACGAGGAAUUCCUAGUAAGCGCGAGUCAUCAGCUCGCGUUGAUUACGUCCCUGCCCUUUGUACACACCGCCCGUCGCUACUACCGAUUGAAUGGUUUAGUGAGGACUCCUGAUUGGCGCCGCCGCCCCGGCAACGGAGCAGCGGACUGCCGAGAAGUUGUUCAAACUUGAUCAUUUAGAGGAAGUAAAAGUCGUAACA
Molecule: ribosomal RNA, 329 nt
Filed under: uncultured eukaryote
Lineage: Eukaryota
Description: partial 18S ribosomal RNA
Rfam family: Eukaryotic small subunit ribosomal RNA
Source: RNAcentral